AUUGAACGCUGGCGGCAGGCUUAACACAUGCAAGUCGAGCGGGGUGAUGGUGCUUGCACUAUCACUUAGCGGCGGACGGGUGAGUAAUGCUUAGGAAUCUGCCUAUUAGUGGGGGACAACAUCUCGAAAGGGAUGCUAAUACCGCAUACGUCCUACGGGAGAAAGCAGGGGAUCACUUGUGACCUUGCGCUAAUAGAUGAGCCUAAGUCGGAUUAGCUAGUUGGUGGGGUAAAGGCCUACCAAGGCGACGAUCUGUAGCGGGUCUGAGAGGAUGAUCCGCCACACGGGGAAUGAGACACGGCCCAGACUCCUACGGGAGGCGGCAGUGGGGAAUAUUGGACAAUGGGGGGAACCCUGAUCCGGCCAUGCCGCGUGUGUGAAGAAGGCCUUAUGGUUGUAAAGCACUUUAAGCGAGGAGGAGGCUCUUUUGGUUAAUACCCAAGAUGAGUGGACGUUACUCGCAGAAUAAGCACCGGCUAACUCUGUGCCAGCAGCCGCAGUAA
This 503-nucleotide ribosomal RNA is filed under the name uncultured bacterium. Its description in RNAcentral is "partial 16S ribosomal RNA". It matches the Rfam family "Bacterial small subunit ribosomal RNA", at positions 30 to 523 of the family's 1533-position model. The record is from RNAcentral.